GACGAACGCUGGCGGCGUGCUUAACACAUGCAAGUCGAACGGAAAGGCCCUGCUUUUGUGGGGUGCUCGAGUGGCGAACGGGUGAGUAACACGUGAGUAACCUGCCCUUGACUUUGGGAUAACUUCAGGAAACUGGGGCUAAUACCGGAUAGGAGCUCCUGCUGCAUGGUGGGGGUUGGAAAGUUUCGGCGGUUGGGGAUGGACUCGCGGCUUAUCAGCUUGUUGGUGGGGUAGUGGCUUACCAAGGCUUUGACGGGUAGCCGGCCUGAGAGGGUGACCGGCCACAUGGCGACUGAGAUACGGCCCAGACGGCUACGGGAGGCAGCAGGGGGGAAUAUUGCACAAUGGGCGGAAGCCUGAUGCAGCAACGCCGCGUGCGGGAUGACGGCCUUCGGGUUGUAAACCGCUUUCGCCUGUGACGAAGCGGGAGUGACGGUAAUGGGUAAAGAAGCACCGGCUAACUACGUG
Molecule: ribosomal RNA, 468 nt
Filed under: uncultured bacterium
Lineage: Bacteria
Description: partial 16S ribosomal RNA
Rfam family: Bacterial small subunit ribosomal RNA
Source: RNAcentral